UGGGGAAUUUUCCGCAAUGGGCGCAAGCCUGACGGAGCAAUACCGCGUGGAUGAGGAAGGCUUUCGGGUCGUAAAAUCCUUUUCUCAGGGAAGAAGAAGUGACGGUACCUGAGGAAUCAGCAUCGGCUAACUCCGUGCCAGCAGCCGCGGUAAUACGGAGGAUGCGAGCGUUAUCCGGAAUUAUUGGGCGUAAAGCGUACGUAGGCGGCUGAGCAAGUCUAGGGUCAAAUCCCGCAGCCUAACUGCGGACCGGCCUUGGAAACUGCUCGGCUAGAGUGCGGUAGGGGUAGAGGGAAUUCCCGGUGUAGCGGUGAAAUGCGUAGAUAUCGGGAAGAACACCAGUGGCGAAAGCGCUCUACUGGGCCGCAACUGACGCUGAGGUACGAAAGCUAGGGUAGCGAAAGGGAUUAGAUACCCCCGUAGUCC
This 426-nucleotide ribosomal RNA is filed under the name uncultured prokaryote. RNAcentral's name for it is "bacterial SSU rRNA". It matches the Rfam family "Bacterial small subunit ribosomal RNA", at positions 355 to 796 of the family's 1533-position model. The record is from RNAcentral.